RNAcentral lists this ribosomal RNA (247 nucleotides) under uncultured Parcubacteria group bacterium. RNAcentral's name for it is "partial 16S ribosomal RNA". It matches the Rfam family "Bacterial small subunit ribosomal RNA", at positions 439 to 700 of the family's 1533-position model. The record is from RNAcentral.
UCGGGGACGAAAUUAUUGACGGUACCCGAUGAAUAAGGGGCUCCUAACUCUGUGCCAGCAGGAGCGGUAAUACAGAGGCCCCAAGCAUUAUCCGGAAUCACUGGGCGUAAAGGGUGUCGAGGCGGUCGUAUUAGUCGUUCGUAAAAUCCGUGAGCUUAACUUACGGUCCGCGAGCGAAACGGUACGACUUGAGGUUUGGAGAGGUGCGUGGAACUCACGGUGUAGGGGUGAAAUCCGUUGAUAUCGU